Molecule: ribosomal RNA, 842 nt
Filed under: Paragaeumannomyces guttulatus
Lineage: Eukaryota; Fungi; Ascomycota; Sordariomycetes; Chaetosphaeriales; Chaetosphaeriaceae
Description: partial large subunit ribosomal RNA
Rfam family: Eukaryotic large subunit ribosomal RNA
Source: RNAcentral
GUAACGGCGAGUGAAGCGGCAACAGCUCAAAUUUGAAAUCUGGCCCCAGGCCCGAGUUGUAAUUUGCAGAGGAUGCUUCGGGCGCGGCGCCUUCCAAGUCCCCUGGAACGGGGUGCCAGAGAGGGUGAGAGCCCCGUAUUGUCGGACGCCAAGCCUAUGUGAAGCUCCUUCGACGAGUCGAGUAGUUUGGGAAUGCUGCUCAAAAUGGGAGGUAGACCCCUUCUAAAGCUAAAUACCGGCCAGAGACCGAUAGCGCACAAGUAGAGUGAUCGAAAGAUGAAAAGCACUUUGAAAAGAGGGUUAAAUAGCACGUGAAAUUGUUGAAAGGGAAGCGCUUGUGACCAGACUUGCGCCGGGGCGAUCAUCUGGCGUUCUCGCCAGUGCACUCGCUCCGGCUCAGGCCAGCGUCGGUUCGCGCGAGGGGAUAAAGGCGCUGGGCAUGUGGCUCCCCCGGGAGUGUUAUAGCCCAGCGCGUCAUGCUCUCGUGCGGACCGAGGUUCGCGCUCUGCAAGGACGCUGGCGUAAUGGUUACUAGCGACCCGUCUUGAAACACGGACCAAGGAGUCGAGGUUCUGCGCGAGUGUUUGGGUGUUAAACCCGCACGCGUAAUGAAAGUGAACGUAGGUGGGAGCUUCGGCGCACCACCGACCGAUCCUGAUGUUCUCGGAUGGAUUUGAGUAGGAGCGUAGGGCCUCGGACCCGAAAGAUGGUGAACUAUGCUUGGAUAGGGUGAAGUCAGAGGAAACUCUGAUGGAGGCUCGCAGCGGUUCUGACGUGCAAAUCGAUCGUCAAAUCUGAGCAUGGGGGCGAAAGACUAAUCGAACCAUCUAGUAGCUGGUACC